Molecule: long non-coding RNA, 232 nt
Organism: Amphimedon queenslandica
Lineage: Eukaryota; Metazoa; Porifera; Demospongiae; Haplosclerida; Niphatidae
Exons: 3
Source: RefSeq, a predicted model, not a curated record
GGAAUAUCUAAUAAUGAUACAUUCUCAUAUCAAAGAGUACCAAGAUCAGUUAAAGAAGCUCGUUUGAAUAUAAUAGCAUUUAAUGAGACUAUUGCUAUAUAAUGUUUCCUUCAAUAUACUAGUUACAUUGGAGUGUACUGGCAAAGCUCCUGAGAAUGUUACAGUUUGUCCAAUCUAAUAAUUAUUACUUUAAUAUAUCCCAUGGCUUUUUUCCAAAAAACGACUCCAAAAU